GACGAACGCUGGCGGCGUGCUUAACACGUGCAAGUCGAACGGAAAGGCCCUGCUUUUGUGGGGUGCUCGAGUGGCGAACGGGUGAGUAACACGUGAGUAACCUGCCCUUGACUUUGGGAUAACUUCAGGAAACUGGGGCUAAUACCGGAUAGGAGCUCCUGCUGCAUGGUGGGGGUUGGAAAGUUUCGGCGGUUGGGGAUGGACUCGCGGCUUAUCAGCUUGUUGGUGGGGUAGUGGCUUACCAAGGCUUUGACGGGUAGCCGGCCUGAGAGGGUGACCGGCCACAUUGGGACUGAGAUACGGCCCAGACUCCUACGGGAGGCAGCAGUGGGGAAUAUUGCACAAUGGGCGGAAGCCUGAUGCAGCAACGCCGCGUGCGGGAUGACGGCCUUCGGGUCGUAAACCGCUUUCGCCUGUGACGAAGCGUGAGUGACGGUAAUGGGUAAAGAAGCACCGGCUAACUACGUG
RNAcentral lists this ribosomal RNA (468 nucleotides) under uncultured bacterium. Its description in RNAcentral is "partial 16S ribosomal RNA". It matches the Rfam family "Bacterial small subunit ribosomal RNA", at positions 28 to 507 of the family's 1533-position model. The record is from RNAcentral.